GACGAACGCUGGCGGCGUGCUUAACACAUGCAAGUCGAACGGAAAGGCCCUGCUUUUGUGGGGCGCUCGAGUCGCGAGCGGGUGUGUCACACGUGGGUCUCCUGUCCUUGACUUUGGUAACACGUCAGGAAACUUGGCAUAAUCCCGGAUAGGCGUUCCUCCUCCAUGGUGGGGGAUGGAAAGAUACGGCGGCUGGGGGUGGACUCGCGGCUUAUCAGGUUGGUGGUGGGGUAGUGGCCUACCAAGGAUAUGACGGGUCGGCGGCCUGAGAGGGUGACCGGCGACAUUGGGACUGAGAUACGCCGCAGUCUCCUACGGGAGGCAGAAGUGGGGAAUAUAGUGCAAUGGGCGGAAGCCUGUGGCAGAGACGCCGCGUGCGGGAUAACGGCCUUCGGGGUGUAAACCGCUCUCGCCUGUGACGAAGCGUGAGUGACGGUAAUGGGUAAAGAAGCAACGGCUAACUACGUG
Molecule: ribosomal RNA, 468 nt
Filed under: uncultured bacterium
Lineage: Bacteria
Description: partial 16S ribosomal RNA
Rfam family: Bacterial small subunit ribosomal RNA
Source: RNAcentral